UACGUAGGGUCCGAGCGUUGUCCGGAAUUAUUGGGCGUAAAGAGCUCGUAGGCGGUUUGUCGCGUCUGCUGUGAAAACCUGAGGCUCAACCUCGGGCUUGCAGUGGGUACGGGCAGACUAGAGUGCGGUAGGGGUGACUGGAAUUCCGUGGUGUAGCGGUGGAAUGCGCAGAUAUCAGGAGGAACACCGAUGGCGAAGGCAGGUCACUGGGCCGCAACUGACGCUGAGGAGCGAAAGCAUGGGGAGCGAACAGG
RNAcentral lists this ribosomal RNA (254 nucleotides) under uncultured bacterium. Its description in RNAcentral is "partial 16S ribosomal RNA". It matches the Rfam family "Bacterial small subunit ribosomal RNA", at positions 524 to 776 of the family's 1533-position model. The record is from RNAcentral.